AAUAUGCCACUCUCAGUGCGCAUCGCGCGCCUGUGUGCAGAACUUGGCAAGGCGCAUUGCUAUCCUCAACCCAACGCUUCCUCUCUUGCCCUCUGUGGUCGCGAAGCAAGACCGUUCCGUAGGUGAACCUGCGGAAGGAUCAUUA
This 145-nucleotide ribosomal RNA is filed under the name Pleosporales sp. s017. Its description in RNAcentral is "partial 18S ribosomal RNA". Lineage: Eukaryota; Fungi; Ascomycota; Dothideomycetes; Pleosporales. The record is from RNAcentral.